RNAcentral lists this ribosomal RNA (496 nucleotides) under uncultured bacterium. RNAcentral describes it as "partial 16S ribosomal RNA". It matches the Rfam family "Bacterial small subunit ribosomal RNA", at positions 28 to 507 of the family's 1533-position model. The record is from RNAcentral.
GAUGAACGCUGGCGGCGUGCCUAAUACAUGCAAGUCGAGCGAACAGACGAGGAGCUUGCUCCUCUGACGUUAGCGGCGGACGGGUGAGUAACACGUGGAUAACCUACCUAUAAGACUGGGAUAACUUCGGGAAACCGGAGCUAAUACCGGAUAAUAUAUUGAACCGCAUGGUUCAAUAGUGAAAGACGGUUUUGCUGUCACUUAUAGAUGGAUCCGCGCCGCAUUAGCUAGUUGGUAAGGUAACGGCUUACCAAGGCAACGAUGCGUAGCCGACCUGAGAGGGGGACGGCCCACAUGGGAGCUGACACGCCACCGAGACACCGAGGGAGGGAACGGGGAGGAACUGGUGGGAGAGGGGGGAACGCGUGAGGAAGGAGCGGCGGGGGGGUGAAGAAGCUCCGGGUAUGGAAAAACUGUUUUAUGGGGGAAAAACAAGUGUGUAAGUAACGAUGCGCGUCUGGCGGUAACUGAAAAAGAAGCCCCGGCUAACUACGGG